This 267-nucleotide ribosomal RNA is filed under the name uncultured bacterium. RNAcentral describes it as "partial 16S ribosomal RNA". It matches the Rfam family "Bacterial small subunit ribosomal RNA", at positions 92 to 354 of the family's 1533-position model. The record is from RNAcentral.
CGACCGGCGCACGGGUGAGUAACACGUAUGCAACCUGGCCGUCACAGGUGGAUAACCGGAAGAAAUUCCGACUAAUACAGCAUAAUACUCCUGAGGGGACAUCCCUUGGGAGUCAAAGGAGGCAACUCCGGUGACGGAUGGGCAUGCGGCGCAUUAGGUAGUUGGUAGGGUAACGGCCUACCAAGCCGACGAUGCGUAGGGGUUCUGAGAGGAAGGUCCCCCACAUUGGAACUGAGACACGGUCCAAACUCCUACGGGAGGCAGCAG